RNAcentral lists this ribosomal RNA (1358 nucleotides) under metagenome. RNAcentral describes it as "bacterial LSU rRNA". It matches the Rfam family "Bacterial large subunit ribosomal RNA", at positions 1579 to 2925 of the family's 2925-position model. The record is from RNAcentral.
UUACAGGGGAAGUCGGUGAUCCUAUGCUGCCAAGAAAAUCUUCUAGCGAGGUUCGAGCCGCCCGUACCCCAAACCGACUCAGGUGGUUAGGUAGAGAAUACCAAGGCGAUCGAGUGAAUCGUGGUUAAGGAAUUCGGCAAAAUACCCCCGUAACUUCGGGAGAAGGGGGGCCCAGAGGGUGACGGGACUUGCUCCCCGAGCCUGAACGGCCGCAGAGACCAGGGAGAAGCGACUGUUUACUAAAAACACAGGUCCGUGCCAAGUCGCAAGACGAUGUAUACGGACUGACGCCUGCCCGGUGCUGGAACGUUAAGGGGACCGGUUAGCCUCACGGCGAUGCUGAGAACUUAAGCGCCAGUAAACGGCGGUGGUAACUAUAACCAUCCUAAGGUAGCGAAAUUCCUUGUCGGGUAAGUUCCGACCUGCACGAAUGGCGUAACGAUUUCUCCACUGUCUCAACCACGAACUCGGCGAAAUUGCACUACGAGUAAAGAUGCUCGUUACGCGCAGAAGGACGGAAAGACCCCGGGACCUUUACUACAGCUUGGUAUUGGUGUUCGGUACGGCUUGUGUAGGAUAGGUGGGAGACUGUGAAGCUGACACGCCAGUGUCGGUGGAGUCAACGUUGAAAUACCACUCUGGUCGUUCUGGAUAUCUAACCUAGGUCCGUGAUCCGGAUCAGGGACAGUGCCUGGUGGGUAGUUUAACUGGGGCGGUUGCCUCCUAAAAGGUAACGGAGGCGCCCAAAGGUUCCCUCAGCCUGGUUGGCAAUCAGGUUUUGAGUGUAAGUGCACAAGGGAGCUUGACUGUGAGACUGACAAGUCGAACAGGGACGAAAGUCGGGACUAGUGAUCCGGCGGUGGCUUGUGGAAGCGCCGUCGCUCAACGGAUAAAAGGUACCCCGGGGAUAACAGGCUGAUCUUGCCCAAGAGUCCAUAUCGACGGCAUGGUUUGGCACCUCGAUGUCGGCUCGUCGCAUCCUGGGGCUGGAGUAGGUCCCAAGGGUUGGGCUGUUCGCCCAUUAAAGCGGUACGCGAGCUGGGUUUAGAACGUCGUGAGACAGUUCGGUCCCUAUCCUCUGCGCGCGCAGGAAACUUGAGAAGGGCUGUCCCUAGUACGAGAGGACCGGGAUGGACGAACCUCUGGUGUGUCAGUUGUUCUGCCAAGAGCACCGCUGAUUAGCUACGUUCGGGAGUGAUAACCGCUGAAAGCAUCUAAGCGGGAAGCAUGCUUCAAGAUGAGGUUUCCAUGGGGUUUACCCCGAGAGGCUCCCAGCUAGACUACUGGGUUGAUAGGCCGGAUGUGGAAGUGCGGUAACGCAUGGAGCUGACCGGUACUAAUAAGCCGAUAACUUGACC